Molecule: transfer RNA, 83 nt
Filed under: Danionella translucida
Lineage: Eukaryota; Metazoa; Chordata; Actinopteri; Cypriniformes; Danionidae
Also listed under: 1 other name
Rfam family: tRNA
About the family: Transfer RNA (tRNA) molecules are approximately 80 nucleotides in length. Their secondary structure includes four short double-helical elements and three loops (D, anti-codon, and T loops). Further hydrogen bonds mediate the characteristic L-shaped molecular structure. tRNAs have two regions of fundamental functional importance: the anti-codon, which is responsible for specific mRNA codon recognition, and the 3' end, to which the tRNAs corresponding amino acid is attached (by aminoacyl-tRNA synthetases). tRNAs cope with the degeneracy of the genetic code in two manners: having more than one tRNA (with a specific anti-codon) for a particular amino acid; and 'wobble' base-pairing, i.e. permitting non-standard base-pairing at the 3rd anti-codon position.
Source: Rfam by way of RNAcentral
GUCAGGAUGGCCGAGCGGUCUAAGGCGCUGCGUUCAGGUCGCAGUCUCCAAUGGAGGCGUGAAUUCAAAUCCCACUUCUGACA